CGGCAGCACGGAGAGCUUGCUCUCUGGUGGCGAGUGGCGAACGGGUGAGUAAUAUAUCGGANGNUGUCCAAUAAUGGGGGAUAACGAGUCGAAAGAUUCGCUAAUACCGCAUACGCCCUACGGGGGAAAGCAGGGGAUCGUAAGACCUUGCGUUAAUGGAGCGGCCGAUAUCUGAUUAGCUUGUUGGUGAGGUAAAGGCUCACCAAGGCGACGAUCAGUAGCUGGUUUGAGAGAACGACCAGCCACACUGGAACUGAGACACGGUCCAGACUCCUACGGGAGGCAGCAGUGGGGAAUUUUGGACAAUGGGGGCAACCCUGAUCCAGCCAUUCCGCGUGAGUGAAGAAGGCCUUCGGGUUGUAAAGCUCUUUCGCAAGGGAAGAAAACUUAUGAUCGAAUAAAUCAUGAGGUUGACGGUACCUUGAUAAGAAGCACCGGCUAACUACGUGCCAGCAGCCGCGGUAAUACGUAGGGUGCGAGCGUUAAUCGGAAUUACUGGGCGUAAAGCGUGCGCAGGCGGUUUUGUAAGUCGGAUGUGAAAUCCCCGGGCUCAACCUGGGAACUGCGUUCGAAACUGCAAGGCUAGAGUGUGUCAGAGGGGGGUAGAAUUCCACGUGUAGCAGUGAAAUGCGUAGAGAUGUGGAGGAAUACCAAUGGCGAAGGCAGCCCCCUGGGAUAACACUGACGCUCAUGCACGAAAGCGUGGGGGAGCAAACAGGAUUAGAUACCCUGGUAGUCCACGCCCUAAACGAUGUCAACUAGUUGUUGGUAGAGUAAAAUCUAUGAGUAACGUAGCUAACGCGUGAAGUUGACCGCCUGGGGAGUACGGUCGCAAGAUUAAACUCANNGAAUUGACGGGGGCCCGCACAAGCNGNGGAUUAUG
RNAcentral lists this ribosomal RNA (883 nucleotides) under uncultured bacterium. Its description in RNAcentral is "bacterial SSU rRNA". It matches the Rfam family "Bacterial small subunit ribosomal RNA", at positions 67 to 941 of the family's 1533-position model. The record is from RNAcentral.